GGCUAAGACUGCUAUUGUGUUUCUUCAUUCACCCUUUCUUGUCUAUUGCCCCAGUUGCAGCUAAUAGAUUCUAUGGUUACCAGGGAUACCAGCUUUAGGUUGACGCAGAUGCUAAAUGCCGCGGGAGUCAGAGAAAACCUGGGGUCCUGAUGAUGUUGUUGAGCUGCUGAAUCAACCAUCCCUAAACCCUAUGCUCCCAAGACUUCCUGUCAUCUUUUGCAGACUUCUUUUCCUGGCUCUCUGGUAACCAGCUACAUGUCUUCCACAUGAAGCCUCCUGAGUUCAUCAGUACAUCAUUGCAUCAUUGACAUGACCCUGCUGAACUAUGCCACGUCUGCCUUUGCUUAAGUGGGUAGGACUGAACCUGUAGCAAACUUUGGAGCACUCAUUUGGGUCACAAUGAUAAAAAUAAUAAUACUUAAUAAUA
Long non-coding RNA from Pan troglodytes (chimpanzee), 427 nucleotides. RefSeq lists it as uncharacterized. Lineage: Eukaryota; Metazoa; Chordata; Mammalia; Primates; Hominidae. The transcript has 2 exons. The record is from RefSeq and is a predicted model, not a curated record.